GCGACCAUGGCGGAAUGGUAGACGCAGCGGACUUAAAAUCCGCAGCCUUCGGGUGUAAGGGUUCAAGUCCCUUUGGUCGCACCA
Molecule: transfer RNA, 84 nt
Filed under: Gluconobacter oxydans
Lineage: Bacteria; Pseudomonadati; Pseudomonadota; Alphaproteobacteria; Acetobacterales; Acetobacteraceae
Description: tRNA-Leu
Rfam family: tRNA
About the family: Transfer RNA (tRNA) molecules are approximately 80 nucleotides in length. Their secondary structure includes four short double-helical elements and three loops (D, anti-codon, and T loops).
Source: RNAcentral